Molecule: long non-coding RNA, 1737 nt
Organism: Meriones unguiculatus (Mongolian gerbil)
Lineage: Eukaryota; Metazoa; Chordata; Mammalia; Rodentia; Muridae
Source: Ensembl
UGGGGAUCCAAACUCAAGUAAUUUAAGUAUAUAGAUCCGGUUCCCUUAUCCACUGAGCCAUCUCCUCAGCCUUCCAAAAUACUUUUUUUUUUCUUUUGAGACAAGGUCUCACUCUGUAGAUCUGACUAGUCUGGAACUCACCAUGUAGACCAGACUAAUCUGAAACUCCCAGAGAUGUGUCUGCCCCUGGGUGCUGGGAUUGACUGGUAAGCUGUCUUGACAGGUUCACUGAAAACCAGCAAUGGAGGAAGCCUUCGCUUAAAGGAAGAGCACCUUCAUUAGGAAGCCUUUGCUCAAAGGCACAGCACCUUCAGCACAGUUGAGUGCACCGCCCUCUGCUGGAAACACACAGAGUUCACACCUACCGACCCUUCCGUCCUUACUGAAAAGUGUUCCUAAAUGGACUUUUCAGAUGGUCUGGGAGAGACAUGCUGCACUUCAAAUGCAUCUGGGAAACUAAUCUUACCCGGAGCACUGUGACCGGCAAAGGGGUUGCUUUAGGCCAGACCUCUUCAACAUUUUUCAGGCAGUCGACAUGCUUAGUCUACUUCACGGAUGUCAAUCUCCCUGAGAAUCAUUUGGCAGCCACAGGUUCUGUUAACUCCUCUGUAGCACAGCUGGUGGGCCAGAUACCCUCAUCAGCCGAAAGCCUGCAGAUGCCGUGUUUCUACCGCCGUGUACACCCUUUCGUGUUGGGUGAACUGGAAGACUUGGAUCCAAGGGAGCCUUCGGAAUAACUCCAUGGACAGACAACCCUCUCCACACACAGAGGGUAAGCUGAAGAGCACUGCCCUCGUGGUGUUUCCAGAAUAUCAAUAAUCAAUAGUCAUAUCCUUGACUGUGGACGUUGUCCCUGCCUGCCUCUUAAAGAGUAGGGUGAUGUGGCCUGCGGCUGCCCCGUUGGUGGGCAGGUGAGAUGCCUACCUGCCGUUCUGUCUCUUGCCCAGAACAGUCUACAUGCCCAGCGUUCUUUAAAUCACACACUUGGUGGUGGGAUGCUAUACCCAUGUCCAGGCUAAUCUUCUUCAUCUGCAUUUUGAAAAUCACAUGUCUUUUGUGAACUGCUGCUCAACUGUCCAAGCCUCCAGAUGCUCACCAGCACUUGACAUUCCAUUAACUGUUUCCUUAGGAACUACUUAACUUAGUUCUUGUCACAUUUGACUUUGGCUGACUGGGACAGACCCCUUUUCUUUCCUUCUUCACUGUUUUUGUACUUCUUAAACCCCAUUUUCACAUAACUAUCACUUCCCACCAUGUGGCUCAGCAAAGCCAGCAAAGCUCCAGCCUAGGAGAUCCCUGUUGGCUCAACCUCUCUUAACUCUCUGGUAAGCACAGUCUUAUUUGGCAUGGUGUUUGGGCAUCAGAGGCUGUCUUCCUCAUCCCUGGCUCUGUCAGUAAUGCCUGUCCCUUUGUCUUCUUCUAGUUCCUGAUGGUUAUGGGGACUUCAGCCUGUAACAGCCUAGUGUCCCUUAUGGCUCCCAUGAGCUAGUAUGCCAGGGCCUGAGUCACCUCAUGUUUCCUUAGGCAUUGCAGCCUUCCUAGUGAGGUGCGAUGGGCAGUUUCUCUGUUCCCAUGGUACUCGAACUGGUUUUUCCCAUUCCAUGUCCAGCCUCAGGGGCGAGGCUGUGAGAAGCUUUUGGAGUGCACUCCAAAGUCUUUCCCUACCUAAGCAGUUCAGAGACAGAACAUGCCUGGCCCAUCAUGGUUCUCUGCACUGGUCCGUCACUAAGUCUCACA